RNAcentral lists this ribosomal RNA (503 nucleotides) under uncultured Glomeromycotina. RNAcentral's name for it is "partial small subunit ribosomal RNA". It matches the Rfam family "Eukaryotic small subunit ribosomal RNA", at positions 591 to 1092 of the family's 1831-position model. The record is from RNAcentral. Lineage: Eukaryota; Fungi; Glomeromycota.
CCAAUAGCGUAUAUUAAAGUUGUUGCAGUUAAAAAGCUCGUAGUUGAACUUCGGGCUCGGCCGGGCGGUCCGCCCACAGGGCGAGUACGGCUCGCGCGUCGGGUCCCACCUUCUGGCGAACGCGGAUGCCAUUAAGUUGGGGUCCGUGGGGAACCAGGAUCUUUACCUUGAAAAAAUUAGAGUGUUUAAAUCAGGCUUCAACGCGUGAAUACAUUAGCAUGGAAUAUUGAAAUAGGACGGCGGUUCUAUUUUGUUGGUUUCUGGGACCACCGUAAUGAUUAAUAGGGAUAGUUGGGGGCAUUCGUAUUCAAUUGUCAGAGGUGAAAUUCUUGGAUUUAUUGAAGACGGACUACUGCGAAAGCAUUUGCCAAGGAUGUUUUCAUUAAUCAAGAACGAAAGUUGGGGGAUCGAAGACGAUCAGAUACCGUCGUAGUCUCAACCAUAAACUAUGCCGACUGGGAAUCGGGCGAUGUUAAUUUUUGUGACUCGCUCGGCGCCCCGAG